CCCUUAGAUGUCCUGGGCUGCACGCGCGCUACACUGGAAGUUACGGAUUGAGAUACUACCUUGUCCGAAAUGGUCCGGGUAAUCACCUAAAAGCUUGUCAUAAUUGGAAUGGAUUAUUGUAACUAGUAAUCCUGAACGAGGAAUUCCUAGUAAGUCCCAGUCAACAGCUGGUACUGAUUACGUCCCUGCCCUUUGUACACACCGCCCGUCGCUACUACUGAUUGGACGUUUAAGCAAGAUUUUUAAACACUGACAGUGUGUAGUUCACGCUAUACUACAGUGAGAAGAAGAAGCUCGAGCUUACUUGUCUAGAGGAAGUAAAAGUCGUAACA
This 332-nucleotide ribosomal RNA is filed under the name uncultured eukaryote. Its description in RNAcentral is "partial 18S ribosomal RNA". It matches the Rfam family "Eukaryotic small subunit ribosomal RNA", at positions 1470 to 1796 of the family's 1831-position model. The record is from RNAcentral.